Macaca mulatta (Rhesus monkey) is the source of this 3014-nucleotide non-coding RNA. The record is from RefSeq and is a predicted model, not a curated record. NCBI's taxonomy places the organism in Eukaryota, Metazoa, Chordata, Mammalia, Primates, Cercopithecidae.
GCAGAUGUUUCCCUGGCCUCAUGGUGUUCCUUUGGACUUCUAAGGGACCUCUGUGCAUCUGUUUUGGUCCCCUUUCUGCUAGCAAGGCUCACUCCCCUAGUUUCCUUAAGCAAUUUUAUAAAAAGCCUUCAGUGCGAAAUGGACUGCAAAAUACUAGCCAAGAAAGCGAAGGCAUCUGGAAAAUCCCCAAAUGUGGCUAUUGUGCGCUGAAAUCCCGGCCCCCUUCUACAUCCAUGACAUGCAUAUCAAUGCAGGUGCUCUUGAGACUUAUGCAGGUUCGGGCGAGCAUGACAUGCUCCUCAAGUCCUGGAUUUGGACUUCAUUCUGGACAGCCUAUGACAAGGAUGAGGAGCCCUAUUCUAGCCAGUUAAAGCUGGACAGAAUUUUUAAAAGCCAUGAAGCCAAUUCCUUGGAUAUAUCCACGGGUUUUGCUUUGAGAAGGAAUUGAGUAGGCAGUGAGAAAAGCCAAGUGAAGCCUGGCCCGUGAGUGCCUCAACAACUGAGAUGAACAUCGACUCACAGGCAAGUUUUCACCAGGUUGAUGGUGUGCACCUGUGGUCCCAGCUACUCAGGAGGCUGAGCUCAGCAGCGAUCUGGACUAUAUCCUGGGUUCCAGAAAAGGCAGAGGUUCUUGCCGAAAGCAGCAUCACAGCCAAACUCAUCAAUGGAGGUGUAGCAGGGCUCGUGGGGGUGAGCUGCGUGUUCCCCAUCGACUUGGCCAAGACUCGCCUGCAGAACCAGCAUGGGAAAGCCAUGUACAAAGGAAUGAUCGACUGCCUGAUGAAGACGGCUCGGGCAGAGGGCUUCUUCGGCAUGUACCGAGGGGCUGCUGUGAACCUCACUCUGGUCACUCCGGAGAAGGCCAUCAAGCUGGCGGCCAACGACUUCUUCCGGCAGCUGCUCAUGGAAGAUGGGAUGCAGCGGAACCUGAAGAUGGAGAUGCUUGCCGGGUGUGGGGCUGGGAUGUGCCAGGUGGUGGUGACCUCUCCCAUGGAAAUGCUCAAGAUUCAGCUGCAGGAUGCUGGACGCUUGGCCGUCCAUCAUCAGGGCUCAGCCUCAGCACCCUCCGCCUCCAGGUCCUACACAACGGGUUCGGCUUCCACCCACAAACGCCCCUCUGCCACCCUCAUCGCCCGGGAGCUGCUCCGCACCCAGGGCCUGGCUGGGCUCUACAAGGGCCUGGGUGCCACCCUCCUCAGAGAUAUCCCCUUCUCCAUCAUCUAUUUCCCACUGUUCGCCAACCUUAACCACCUGGGGUUCAACGAGCUCGCCGGUAAGGCGUCCUUUGCACAUUCCUUCGUGUCAGGCUGUGUGGCAGGUUCCGUAGCUGCGGUCGCAGUGACGCCUCUAGAUGGUAAGGAGGUGGGAGACGUGUCCUUUCUAUAGGAUGAACAGUUAAUUUUGCGCUUACAGAUGGAACAGCCCGACCCUGGAAGCCGUCUGGGGUUGCAAUCUGGCUGCUGGCAGAGGCUCAUUAAAGGCCCUUCCGGAGAAAGUGGGCUCAAGAGACUUUCCCUCUGUUUCUCAUCCCUGACACAUCCCCUCACCUUCAAGAUUCCUUUAGCUUUUCAUCCCCUCAGAAGAGUUGUGAGCCUCAGCUGUAAAUUAUUGCUGAUCUUUUAAAAUGUGGGGUUGGCCGGGUGUGGUGGCUCACGCCUGCAAUCCCAGCACUUUGGGAGGCCGAGGUGGGUGGAUCACCUGAGGUCAGGAAUUUGAGACCAUCCUGACUAACAUGGUGAAACCCCGUCUCUACUAAAAAUACAAAACAAAUUAGCUGAGUGUGGUGGCGGGUGCCUGUAAUCCCAGCUACUUGGGAGGCUGAGGUAGGAGAAUCACUAGAACCUGGGAGGUGGAGGUUACAGUGAGCCAAGACCACACCAUUGCACUCCAGCCUGGGUGACAGCACAAGACUCCAUCUCAAAAAAAUAAAUACAUAAAAUUUGGGGCUAAAGGCGGGAGCUAAACCCACUGUGAGAAGACAAUGCCUCCCUCUGUGUUAGGGCUGCCCGCAGCUCCCCAAACAUGCGGGCGGACUUCCUAUACCAACAGUAACCUGGCCAGGUGCGGCGGCGGCUCACACCUGUAAUCCCGAAACUUUGGGAGGACGAGACAAGAGCCCAGGAGUUUGAGACCAGCCUGGGCAACAAAUUCUGAAAACUCGAAUCCAAACCCUCAAGAAAGGCCUGGGCGAGGACGUGUACAGUGGGAUCACCGACUGUGCCAGGAAACUCUGGAUUCAGGAGGGACCGUCUGCCUUCAUGAAAGGCGCUGGCUGCCGGGCACUGGUCAUAGCACCUCUCUUUGGGAUUGCUCAAGGGGUCUAUUUCAUUGGGAUUGGAGAGCGCAUCUUAAAGUGUUUUGAGUAGACGGAGCUGGAGGUCAGGUCCCUGCACUCGCCACCCUCUCUCUAGCCCAUUUCACUUAGCCUAGAGGGGACAAGGGCAGGCGGGGCCGCUCCGGCCUGCCUUGUCCUCUGCGUUGUAGCGCUACCUCAGUCUCAGGAGAAACAGUCCUAUACUCUUAACAAGUCGAGCACAGCCUUCUUCCCCUGUGUGUCUACACUCAUUUUCCUUUGUGGGCACAGCUACCAGGGGCUUUCAGAAGCCCCUACCCACCUACUUUUCAACAAGAGUAGUACUUUAGUUGUAUUAAUUGCAGUACCUUAACAGGUAGUCAAAAUAGAAGGGUUGUUUCUAUAUUUUAACAUCUCAGUCAAACUCGGCAAUCUUCAGUCAGCUUGAGGAUUUAGCAUUGUUAAUCUUGGACUCUAUAACUUAUGAGUCCUAGCACUGAUUUUUGAGGAAAAGGAGGAUCAGAAGUUCAAGGGUCCAUGAAAGUCCUCAAAGUCAGCGCCUCGUUUGAGACCAAGCUCCCUUUCGAAUCCCUGGAUGGCUGAGGGGGCUGAGGCCGGCUCUAACUGGGCAGCCCGGCCCCUCCUCCAGAGCCCAGGCUCUUGCAGACCCCUCCCUGUAUCCGAGGAACACUAUUUGAAAUAAAGGUGAACGGUUACAAUC